AACAAGGUCUCCGUAGGUGAACCUGCGGAGGGAUCAUUACUGAGCGAGGGCUCGCGCCCGACCUCCCACCCUUUGUGAACCAACUCUGUUGCUUCGGGGGCGACCCCGCCGUACCGGCGACGGCGCCCCCGGAGGCACCCCCAACCCUGCAUCUCUGCGUCGGAGUCUGUCUUCAAGUAAAUUGAAACAAAACUUUCAACAACGGAUCUCUUGGUUCUGGCAUCGAUGAAGAACGCAGCGAAAUGCGAUAAGUAAUGUGAAUUGCAGAAUUCAGUGAAUCAUCGAAUCUUUGAACGCACAUUGCGCCCUGUGGUAUUCCGCAGGGCAUGCCUGUUCGAGCGUCAUUUCACCACUCAAGCCUCGCUUGGUAUUGGGCGCCGCGGCCCCCCCGCGCGCCUCAAAGUCCUCCGGCUGAGCAGUCCGCCCCUAAGCGUUGUGGAUGUUUUUCAAAAUCGCUGAAGGGUGCGGGCGGCGACGGCCGUUAAAUCUUGCACAAGGUUGACCUCGGAUCAGGUAGGGAUACCCGCUGAACUUAAGCAUAUCAAUA
Molecule: ribosomal RNA, 547 nt
Filed under: Rosisphaerella rosicola
Lineage: Eukaryota; Fungi; Ascomycota; Dothideomycetes; Mycosphaerellales; Mycosphaerellaceae
Description: eukaryotic LSU rRNA
Rfam family: 5.8S ribosomal RNA (bases 191-344)
Source: RNAcentral